RNAcentral lists this ribosomal RNA (485 nucleotides) under uncultured bacterium. Its description in RNAcentral is "bacterial SSU rRNA". It matches the Rfam family "Bacterial small subunit ribosomal RNA", at positions 29 to 508 of the family's 1533-position model. The record is from RNAcentral.
AUUGAACGCUGGCGGCAUGCCUUACACAUGCAAGUCGAGCGGCAGCGCGGGGGCAACCCUGGCGGCGAGCGGCGAACGGGUGAGUAAUACAUCGGAACGUGUCCAGUAGCGGGGGAUAACCUGUCGAAAGAUAGGCUAAUACCGCAUACGACCUACGGGUGAAAGCGGGGGACCGCAAGGCCUCGCACUAUUGGAGCGGCCGAUGCCGGAUUAGCUAGUUGGCGGGGUAAUGGCCCACCAAGGCGACGAUCCGUAGCUGGUCUGAGAGGACGAUCAGCCACACUGGAACUGAGACACGGUCCAGACUCCUACGGGAGGCAGCAGUGGGGAAUUUUGGACAAUGGGCGCAAGCCUGAUCCAGCCAUGCCGCGUGAGUGAAGAAGGCCUUCGGGUUGUAAAGCUCUUUCGGCGGGGACGAAACGGUCCGUGACAACACCACGGACUAAUGACGGUACUCGCAGAAGAAGCACCGGCUAACUACGUGC